Pseudophryne corroboree (corroboree frog) is the source of this 864-nucleotide long non-coding RNA. RefSeq lists it as uncharacterized. The transcript is spliced from 3 exons. The record is from RefSeq and is a predicted model, not a curated record. Lineage: Eukaryota; Metazoa; Chordata; Amphibia; Anura; Myobatrachidae.
GGCGGAGCUACACAGGUGAAAAGGAGGUGGGGCUACAUGGCUAAAAAGGGGACUGGGCUACAUGGGACCAGAAGACUGCAGUACCACAGAGGACAUGCUGCUCCAGAUCCUGCCAGCCAGACUGAUAACGGCCUUUAAUGCAUGAAGUCUUGUUUUGGUGAUGGUUGGGGGACACUUCCGGGUUGACGGACUAAUGGUGACAUCACCGGAAAUGCGAUUACCGUAAACGGACGGGUGAUCCGCGCUCUGGAGGCGUUUGAUCACUGUGUCAAUGUAUUUAAGGUUCUUCUACUGCUCCACCAGGCUUCCGCAUUUGAUCCAUUGUUCUGCAGAGUAAGAGAUUGUGGAUUGCAUUUGGAAAACCCCCUCUAGAAAUCCUGCAUUUGCCCCUGCAGAUUAGUUUCACUGUGGAGACAUACUGGCAAGGCAAUAGCACAGGUAAUUGAACUGUAUACAGACAAAGGGCAGGUCUUCUGAAUCGUCCAGAUUGAUAACAUUGUGGACACAUACUGGCAGAUCUCUCAAAUAGCACAGAUAAAUUAGUUCCACUGAGCAGAACAGACCAGGUAUCCAAGUAAACAAGACUGGCAAAAUCAUACUGAUUACAAUCCACAAAGGAGUGUAAGAGGAAAAUCCAUAAAAAGGCUGAACAGCCAAUGAACACAAGUCCAGAAACAAGCAAAGCUCUGAACUGAACUGCAACAAACAAGCAUGAUGAUUUCUGGUCUGCACAUCUGACAGGUUGCCAGGAGACUGAUUGAAGACACUAGAACUACAGUAACUUCAGUAGGAGCUGCUGAACUCUGCUUCUUCUGGACUCUAGCAGAGAGGAAAAGAGUCUAUUAACUGACCAGAAUCCAAUAA